GGCUGGCACACGUGCAGGUAAAUUCGGGAUCCCAAAGAGGAUGGUCUGGUGUAUCUUAUGCUAAAGGAGAUAACAAAGGAAGCAUUGAAGCUCCUUUCAUUUCAUCUAGAGGAAUCAAACAGCUCUUAUCAUGACUGCACCUUUGGUACUCCCGGGACAUUUCAUUUAUUUAGGAACGUUUCUAAGCAAAGAAGACUAUUCAACCACAAAGGGGAAAAGGCAGAGACAAAAAGGCUGAUCUUUCAUCUCUCAGCAGGCCUGAGGUGUGUACUGCUUCUCCACAAGCUUGCAGAACUUCAAAAAGCAGCGUCCAUGUCUGGGAGAGCUCUCAUCGUCCUGUUCAGCACUCUCAUCACACACCGACUGCAUUUACAUUCACUGGAUAAGCAUCUUACUGUGAACUGUAUAUAUUCUGCUUCAUUUGUGUCUGUUUAUCCACAAACACAGAGUUCCUCCUGCAGCCCGCCUCCAUCCACCCUCAUGUGAGGGGACGUGUCCUGGGAACGGUGUGUCCAGAUGUUAGAUGAUCUUAUCAAAAACACAUUGCAUAUAGGCAUACUAAAUUCACUUGGCAACCCUUGGGGCUGAAAAAUUGAAGCCAAAAUGGAAGUUGAAUUGGAGAGCCUAUGGGAAAUGAAUAUCUAUUACCUCAGAAAAGAUUGUCCUAAUGACUAUAUGGUCUCAAUAGCUAAUUCAAGUCUUUUUCAAUACAGAAUGAUGAUCAUUUUAUAAUUGAUGAUCCAAUUUAAAGUAAAACCAGGGUAUGCUUCCGUAUUGUGUGUGACUUGAGUUCAUGAAUGUGAAUGGUAACGUUAUGGUAGACUUAAAAAUGUCUUGUACUGCGUUGAGUUGUACUGUUCUCCCGGCCUCGACACUUCUAAUUCCAAAUAACCAAGAUGGUGACGACCAAAAUGCCCAACUGUAAGAUUUCACAACCGUAUAUAUUAAGCGUCUUUGAGCACCUGUAAAAGUGCUAACAAAAUAAAUCUAUUAUUAUUAUUAUAAAGUAUAUAACUGUAACCUAGGAUCAGCCACAGUCUCAUCCCUCCUCGGCACACCACAAAGCACUGGACCCUGCUUUGUGCCAGUAGGCAUCAGGCUCCACAAUAAUAGGCUUGACCCCCCCCAUAAAAACCCAUUUAAAUACAUACAAUGUAACAACCUGCACUGCAUGUACUUAUGACUUGCACCUGGACUCCCACUCACAAAUUGAUAUAUAUUUAACAUAUCUAUAAUUAUACUGUAUAUAUUUAAACACCUUUAAUUUUUAUUUAUAGCAUCAAUGACCUUUUUUUAUUUCAUACAUUCCUUUAUUUAUAUUACUAUUAUUAUCAUUCUAGUGUGAAUUCAUAUCUAUCUUAUCCUGUGUUUCACCCUUAUUGCUGUUGCUGCUAAGAACCCUGAAUUUCCCAAUGAAAAUCAAUAAUGCUUUAUCUUAACUUAUCUAAUGGUGUAUGUUAAUAGUAGUUGCUGUUGUGUCUAUGUAUGUCAAAUACAGAAUUGUUCUUUAUUUAAAA
Molecule: long non-coding RNA, 1517 nt
Organism: Gymnodraco acuticeps
Lineage: Eukaryota; Metazoa; Chordata; Actinopteri; Perciformes; Bathydraconidae
Exons: 2
Source: RefSeq, a predicted model, not a curated record